This 1471-nucleotide ribosomal RNA is filed under the name Thermoplasmatales archaeon SW_10_69_26. Its description in RNAcentral is "bacterial SSU rRNA". It matches the Rfam family "Archaeal small subunit ribosomal RNA". The record is from RNAcentral. Lineage: Archaea; Methanobacteriati; Thermoplasmatota; Thermoplasmata; Thermoplasmatales.
AACUCCGGUUGAUCCUGCCGGAGGUGACUGCUAUGGGGGUCCGAUUAAGCCAUGCGAGUCGAGAGAUUUCGGAUCUCGGCAGACUGCUCAGUAACACGUGGAGAACCUACCCUACGGAGAGGGAUACCCUCGGGAAACUGAGGACAAUACCUCAUAGUCGAUCAGGACUGGAAUGUCCGGUCGAUGAAACGUUCCGACGCCUUAGGAUGGCUCUGCGGCCUAUCAGGUAGUAGUCAGGGUCACGACCUGACUAGCCGACGACGGGUACGGGCGUUGAGAGACGUAGCCCGGAGAUGGAUUCUGAGACACGAAUCCAGGCCCUACGGGGCGCAGCAGGCGCGAAACCUUCGCAAUGCGCGAGAGCGCGACGAGGGGACCCCCAGUGCCGGCACUUAGUGUCGGCUGUUUGGAUGCCUAACCACCAUCCGGAGGAAGGGCUGGGUAAGACGGGUGCCAGCCGCCGCGGUAAUACCCGCAGCCCAAGUGGUCACCGAUGUUACUGGGCCUAAAGUGUCCGUAGCCGGCUUGGCAAGUGCCUGGGUAAAUCGGAUCGCUUAACGAUCCGAAUUUCAGGCGAACUGCCGAGCUAGAGACCGGGAGAGGCCGAAGGUACUCCAGGGGUAGGGGUGAAAUCCUGUAAUCCCUGGGGGACCGCCGGUGGCGAAGGCGUUCGGCUGGAACGGGUCUGACGGUGAGGGACGAAGCCCUGGGGAGCAAACCGGAUUAGAUACCCGGGUAGUCCAGGGUGUAAACAUUGUGAGUUUGGUGUCGGGGGUCCUGCGAGGGCGCUCGGUGCCGAAGCGAAGGCGUUAAGCUCACCGCCUGGGGAGUACGACCGCAAGGUUGAAACUUAAAGGAAUUGGCGGGGGAGCACCGCAACGGGAGGAGCGUGCGGUUUAAUUGGAUUCAACGCCGGAAAGCUCACCAGAGAAGAGUGGCAGAUGUGGGUCAGGCUGAUGGCCUUGCCCGAACGUCACAGAGGUGGUGCAUGGCCGUCGUCAGCUCGUACCGUAAGGCGUUCUGUUAAGUCAGAUAACGAGCGAGACCCUUACCUGCAAUUGCCACCCGGUCCUCCGGGAUCGGAGCACAUUGCAGGGACCGCUGAUGCUAAAUCAGAGGAAGGAUAGGGCAACGGUAGGUCAGUAUGCCCCGAAUUCUCUGGGCUACACGCGCGCUACAAAGGGCGGGACAAUGGGUAUCGACGCCGAGAGGUGAAGGUAACCCCGAAACCCGUCCGUAGUUUGGAUCGAGGACUGCAACUCGUCCUCGUGAAACUGGAUUCCGUAGUAAUCGCGCCUCAAAAUGGCGCGGUGAAUAUGCCCCUGCUCCUUGCACACACCGCCCGUCAAACCAUCCGAGUUGGGUCCGAGUGAGGCAGCCUCUUCCUGGGGCCGUCGAACUCGGAUUCAGCGAGGAGGGUUAAGUCGUAACAAGGUAUCCGUAGGGGAACCUGCGGAUGGAUCACCUCCUA